Long non-coding RNA from Sarcophilus harrisii (Tasmanian devil), 2398 nucleotides. RefSeq lists it as uncharacterized. The record is from RefSeq and is a predicted model, not a curated record. NCBI's taxonomy places the organism in Eukaryota, Metazoa, Chordata, Mammalia, Dasyuromorphia, Dasyuridae. The transcript has 5 exons.
UCUCUGUGUAUCUCUCUGUCUCUCUCCCUCUACUAUUUUUCUUAUUGCUGAAAACAAAGUCCUUCCUAUAGAAAGCACCUAAUACAUGUUUGCUUUCUUGAAAUUGAAUGCUUUGGAUGAGCAGCUCUCCUUUUCAAUGAGUGUCUUCCCCUUCUCCCCCCACUCUCCUGUGAUCCUGUGAUCCUGUGAUCUGGUUUCUAUGCUUUUUAUUCCUUCAGCUCCAGUUAAUUAUAGCCUGUCACAAACCAGAGACCACUUUAUCAUUGAGCACAAACAGGAUGGAGAGAGCCACAAUGAAUAGACAGAAGAAUAAGCCAUGGCACCAGAGACCACAAGGUUAAGGUUUUUUCAGAGACUGUCCCUAAUACUGCCUUGUAUAACCACUGUACUUUUUCUUGAGCCUCACUUUUCCCUUCACAAUACUUUUUGACUCUAUAUCACCUUUUAUUUUAAACAACAGAAUUGUUUACAAUCCAGAAUCCAUUUGAAGAUAUCUUCCACAUUUUUUAUGCCCAGAUAAUUUUUAGAGCACCACCUACUUGAUGAUAAUAACCAAGACUUAUCAUCUGACCCACCCCUACCCAGUGACUACUGCCUUGACUUCUUGUGUAUUAUUUGAACUUUCACUUUUAGAUUGAACAUAGAAUAUAGCCACAGUCUAGGAGAUCUCCUCUAGAUGCCAAGGUGUAGGCACUGUUACAAAUACCAUGUGUGACCUUCCGUAAGUCUCCUCUGUCUUUUGGCUUUUUUUUUUUCUUUCUGCAGUAAAAUAUGUGGACUGGGUGAAUGUGGAGUGGGAUGGCAUGCCAGGUCUGAGUGUUUAGGGAGGGGAUGUUGGACAUGAUAAACUCCAAGGUCCCAUUCAUCUUUGUGACUCUCAAUACUAUGAUUUCUCACUCUCUUACCUGCCUUUUCCCCAAUAUUUUAUUGAAGGAAAUGGACCAGAAAGCCUGAUGACCUGAGAGAGGGCUCCCUGGAAGGUCCAUGGAGUCUGCUAGGGGAGGAGAAUGUGUGUGUGAAUUUGGGCAGAGGCGGGGAAUAUCUGUGAGUGGAGAACUGAUAAGGUGGUGGAUAGAAAGUUGGAAUCCAGGGAACAUGAGUUUAUAUCCUGCUGGUGACUCUGUGAGUAUGGGAAAAGCCCUUAAAGUCUUUGAUGGUCUGUUACCUCAGUUUUACAAUUGCAAUAAUAAGAUUUAUACCAGAUCAAGCCUUUGAACUGGUUUUGGAGUGACGGAACCUACAAAUAAUUGGAGUAUAACAAAUUUCCAGCAGAAGAUAUUUUGGAAAAACUUCAUAAAGGUGAGGAGGAGACAAAACCAAUGGAUCCCCAGUUGGGAAAUACGAUGAGGAACAUCAUUGGUUUGUGGACAACAUCAUAUAUACUGUGUACAUUCAUCUUUUUCACCUAUAUAAAAAAUCUUCAGAAAAACACUUUUUUGUGGCAUGUGAAUGGGAUCCUGUCAGUGACUUAUUCAAUGGAAGUGGGUGUUUGUAUUUGUUAUUUGUGGACAAAGCACAGUUGUCCAGAAAUUAUUCCUAAGGAGGAUUGGAUGAACUGGUGUUCUUGGAUCCUUAUUUUGAUCUUCAUCCCACUCUUAAUAAUAUUUAUUUUAAAAUUUAUAAUUCGAUAUUUUUCUUCUUUUUUUAUGAUACUCCUCUUUUCAAUGAAUUUCACCAAUAUUGAAAGUAUCAUCUUUUUGAUGCCUAUAUUGAGAGUAUUUUUUUGGUUUUUCUUCCCUUCAUUCUUUUAAAAUAGAGCACUGCUCCUGGGGUAAAGUGGUCACUGUCCCCAGCUUCCUGUCCAGCUCUGAGCCUUGGCUUUGAAUACAGGCACCCCUUGUGUUUGCAGGAGGAAGCUUUGCCUACUCUGUUCAGGAAACAUCCUGGUUUCCCAGAGGUUUGUCUUCUAAUCUGGGACUGGAAACUCCCUUCCUGCUGUGCUCCUCUACUGAGCCAGGACUGAGAGUCUUAGUUGCUCAUGUUCUGUGAUGAAGACUCUCUUCCUGGCUUUCCCGCCGUCUAUCUGAGCUGACUUGAACACCCUCUUCACCCCAGUGAGACUGAAAUUUCUUGAAGUUUUUUCAGUCUGUCUUGAGCUGGAGAGUGGUUUCAUUCCAUCAGACUCUAUUCAGAAGCUUGGUUUCAUGUGAUUUUCCAGGGAGAACUCGAGCUGCUUCCUGACUUUACAAUCUUGGCUCCAUCCCAGAAGUCUUUCCUUCCCAUUCUUUUUAAAGCAUUGAGUUCCAAAUUCUAUGCCUCUCUUUCUUCUUCCCUUCCCCCAAGAUUGUAAGUUCUUAUAUAUAAUUUAUAUAUGCACAAUUAUGUAAGACAUUUACACAUUACUCCUUUUGUAUAAGAAGACUCAAAUAAAAUAAAAAUGCAAUAAAGUAAUAAGAUG